GUAAUGGUGUAAGUACCUACUUGUAUUGCAUUUAUGGUGAAACUAACGUGAUAUAUUUGGAACCACUAGAUUUCCUGUUUAAUAAUCUAUGAGAACGAUUAAAUCGAUACCGACGUCCGACGAUGUACCGUUCGCCUACACCUAUGGAAUUUUUCUAGAUUAAAAGAAGUUCCAUCUGUAAAAUAUCGGUUACAUUUUUUGUUCCAAUAUUAUCGAAGUAAACUGAAAUUAUAAACAGUAAAAAACAAUUUUAUCGCAGGUAUUUAGAAAUUUUUAGGCUUAAAGCGGUUUUUUUUUUUUUUUUUGGAAAUUACCAUAUUCCCGAUCCCCAGCCAAAGUAAAUUAUUGGACUAUCAUAACUGUUC
Molecule: non-coding RNA, 365 nt
Organism: Cinara cedri
Lineage: Eukaryota; Metazoa; Arthropoda; Insecta; Hemiptera; Aphididae
Source: the annotation of a GenBank genome assembly